GCUGCCAUCACGGAGUAUGAGGGAACCUCCAGGCCCGUGCUGGGCGCGACAUGGCGGCCACUCCUCCUCUGAGGGAGGAUUCCAGCACAGGCGGGAGGCCCCUCCAUCCGGGUCCUUCCAGCUCCGGGUUACUGGGCGGCGACGCAGCUCCAGGUGAGGCCGGUGGGGUCCUGGUCCGGGGAGUGCGCCCAGGCCGCUUGUCAUGUACAUUUCAGCGGGUUGGGGGUGAGUUCAGACUGGGGUCCGACAGACGGGGGUCGGUAGCACAUGGAUGGAGCGGCAGCACGUGGGGCUGACAGGGGGCAGGAUGUGAGACGGAUAAAUCUGGGAAAUGGAAGAAGAGUAAUAAAUAUAAAGAUGAAAUCUGCAGCGAGGGAUUUUUCUCGUCAAGGAACAGCCAUUCUAAUUGUGGAGGCUUCAGUUUUUUUUCUAUAGUGGCAAGUUUAUAAUCACAGAGGUGCCAGAGAAGAAUACAAAUAGACCUGUAGGAAGAGGUAGUAGGUUGCAUAGUUUUAGGGCAGGCAUUUUGCCCAGCAGGAGGUAACUAUACAACCCGCUGCCUUUCCUAGGGUUUUGUACUUGCAACAGCAGUUGGUUUUACUGACAAUGCUUAUUCUAGGGAUGGAACAGGUUCUUAAAUCUGCUUGAAAAGAGAAAUAAUGGGAAUUCUGACACAGUCUGUAUUUUUUAUCGUUGUUUCACACUCUUUAUAUUAAAUAAAAUAGUUUCAUUGAA
Molecule: long non-coding RNA, 735 nt
Organism: Bombina bombina (fire-bellied toad)
Lineage: Eukaryota; Metazoa; Chordata; Amphibia; Anura; Bombinatoridae
Exons: 4
Source: RefSeq, a predicted model, not a curated record